CCCUCUAUAGUCUACUUCUUUUUUUGUUUGCCUUGUAUUAAGUGUUUUAACCCUUGAACACUGAUACCCUGUCCGACUGACGUAGGACCUCGUAACGUAUGUCAAGGCUCUGCCUAAAUUCGUUGGGGUUCUGUCUCGUGACGUAGGGAUAAAGUAGAAUUGGGUUACUAUACUUAAUGUGAGUACACUGUAUAUUUUAUUAAAUAAUCCAGGAGUUGUACCCAAAACAUAACAACCCUCCCGAAUAUUUUUCUGACACCCUGCACUUCCUAAAAUACACCCCGUAUGUGAAAACCGAGCCCGAAAUACAACAUAGCAUUAACAGUAAAUGAAAAACAAGAAAUAGUAAGUUGAGGCGGGCCGCGUAGACCCACCCCAACCGUUCACGCGGGCCGUAUGAAGGUGUAACCGGAUCCCUUUGAUUUCUUAAGUCCAGGCGGGCCGCGUAAGGCCACACCGUUAGUUUACGCGGGCCGCGAGUGUCCCUAUUGGUGGCGCAGCCCGGUGAUGACACGUGUCAUCAUCGUGGCGGGUCUAGAGGGUGAGCCGGACAAGCUAGUCCAUUGACCAGGGUUGACGCGGGCCGCGUAACCCCUGUCCUUUCUUUACGCGGGCCGCGUGGGAACCAGUUUCAGCAACUAUAAAUAGAGGCCAUCGGAUUUCAUUUGGAAUUCGCUCACGAACGUUUUCUUCUCUCAAAUCUGAAUAUUAGGCAUAAUACUCGGACUAUAACCAGGGAAUCACAAAGGAAAGCCCUAUGAUAGCAUUGUAACUUAGUGUGAAGCCAAUAUAAGCCAGCUGGAGAGCACUGAAGGCUUGGAAAAGUGGCUAUAAAGUUACCUAAGAUAAAAUAGAUGUUUUUAUUAAAUAAAAAGAGGAUUUAUUCCUAUGAAAACGUGUGUACUGCAAAACUUGGGUUUUAUCCCAUGUGUUUAAUAUUAUGAAAAUAUGGUGGUUUUACU
Molecule: long non-coding RNA, 962 nt
Filed under: Helianthus annuus (common sunflower)
Lineage: Eukaryota; Viridiplantae; Streptophyta; Magnoliopsida; Asterales; Asteraceae
Description: hypothetical non coding rna
Source: RNAcentral